UAGGGAAUAUUAGAAAUGGACGAAAGUCUGAUCUAGCAACACCGCGUGUGCGAAAAAGGCCUUCGGGUUGUAAAGCACUUUUUGAGAGGAUGAGGAAGGACGGUACUCUCAGAAUAAGUCUCGGCUAACUACGUGCCAGCAGCCGCGGUAACACGUAGGAGGCAAACGUUAUCCGGAUUUACUGGGCGUAAAGCGCGUGUAGGUGGUUUGGUAAGUAGAGCGUGAAAGCUCCUGGCUCAACUGGGAGAGGUCGUUCUAAACUGCCGGACUAGAGGAUGAGAGAGGGAGGUGGAAUUCCGGGUGUAGCGGUGGAAUGCGCAGAUAUCCGGAGGAACACCAGUGGCGAAGGCGGCCUCCUGGACCAUUCCUGACACUCAGACGCGAAAGCUAGGGUAGCAAACG
RNAcentral lists this ribosomal RNA (402 nucleotides) under uncultured prokaryote. Its description in RNAcentral is "bacterial SSU rRNA". It matches the Rfam family "Bacterial small subunit ribosomal RNA", at positions 355 to 774 of the family's 1533-position model. The record is from RNAcentral.